Triticum aestivum (bread wheat) is the source of this 654-nucleotide long non-coding RNA. RefSeq lists it as uncharacterized. The record is from RefSeq and is a predicted model, not a curated record. The transcript is spliced from 3 exons. Lineage: Eukaryota; Viridiplantae; Streptophyta; Magnoliopsida; Poales; Poaceae.
UAGCUCCCGUGCGACGUUUUUGAGGUGAAUUGGCAAAAGUGCGACGUUGUUCGAGCGAAUGGCUGUGGUGCAACACAUUUGAGCGUGUAAAUAGCCCAGGGCCACAUGGGGUGUUAAAUGUGGUUAAAUUGGUCGUCAACCAAGCCCGCCCGUUUAUGUUAGGACAUGUGGGUCCAACUUAAUUGUUCCUCAAAACAGCUGACCGUGCCCUGCCGCCCGACCGUGCUGGGCCCGCCACUCUGCCCCCCUUCUUCUCCGGUGGCGGCGGAUCUUGCGUUCUCGGUGGCGGCGGCGGAGCCCUCGUUCUCAACGGCAGCGGAGCCUUCAUCAUAAGAAAAUGGUUGUGAGGGGAGUCCGUGGGCAUACUGAGAUGGAGCCGCCAGAUUCAACUUCGAAUAGAGGGGAUGCUGCCGCUCGGACCUUCGAAUUGAUAGUCAAUUUCUUUCCAUCAAAGGCAAAAUUAGUUGAUGGUAGCAUACAGAACAUUGAGAGAGACACAAUUGUUAAAUGGGAGGUUGAGUUUACAGAGAUUGAUCCACAAGUUCUACAGAACAUGGGAGAGACGGCAGUGAAGAAAUGGGUGGAAAAAAUUGGGGAGAAUAUAGUUUGGGGUCCAGAGCAAGAAGUAUCACUGUUGCGGUUUGAUGAUUGGAA